UUUUGGCUUUUUAGGUCUUUAUUCUGAAAUGUUUCCUAACUCUGGUAGCAUGAGUUUCCAAUGCGACAAAAAUAGUUACUAUGGCGUUACUUUUGAGUACUUUUCUAAUGUUAAAUGGAAUAAUGUUAGUAUUGGGAUUAGGUAGACAACAAGAACUGUCUGAAAACUGAUGUAACAUGGAGACAAUUGUUAUCAGUAUUAAUCAUCUUUUUCUUGUCUUUUAUUUCUUUAUUUCAAAGUGUAUUUCUAUUCCAUUUUUGAAUGCCAUUCAUACUCCUGUGGUAUACGUGAUAAUUAGCGAAUCACAGAUUGGAAAGUUGGAUACGUGCUCAUAGAUGAUGAGGA
Molecule: long non-coding RNA, 345 nt
Filed under: Olea europaea (common olive)
Lineage: Eukaryota; Viridiplantae; Streptophyta; Magnoliopsida; Lamiales; Oleaceae
Description: long non-coding RNA (OEUR_LNC010228)
Source: RNAcentral